GACAAACGGAUCAAAUUAAAAUUAAUAAUAGUAAAAAAGGAGGUUAAGAAUUUGUUUUACGAAAAAUAAUGCUUUUUAGGGAGGUGGAAUUUAGAUAAAAUGAAGUAAUUUAGUUUUUUCUUUUAUUUGAGGCCUCGAAAUUUUGUUUAUGAGACCGGGAUUAGAUACCCCGUUAUUCAAAAUGUAAACUUUAAUUGUUAUUUAUAAUUUACUUGAGUAUUACGAGUAUAAAUGGGGUGUGUUCUAAAUAUAUUUCUUAAAACUCAAAAAACUUGGCGGUGCCUUAUAUCCUUCCAGGGGAACCUGUCCUUUAAUCGAUAGUCCACGAUUUAACUUUCUUUCUUUUGAAUUGUAUUAAUCAGCCUGUAUACCGUCGUCGUCGGGUUAUCUUUAAGAGUUAUGAAGUUAUCAGUAAGAAUUAGAAGAGAUUUAAAUUUCGGUAGUUAUGAGACCGGGAGUUUGAUUUAUGUGGGUUCUAGACGUCAGAUCAAGGUGCAGCUUAUAGGGGAGUAGAGAUGGGUUACAAUAAUGAUUUAUUAUACGAAUUUUUUGUUGUGAGUAGCAAAAUUGAAGGAGGACUUGGAAGUAAUUGGUUUAAAGAUAAGAGAGCUUAAAUGAAAAUAGGCUCUGAGGUGCGC
This 638-nucleotide ribosomal RNA is filed under the name Archiminolia sp. 3 LS-2016. RNAcentral describes it as "partial 12S ribosomal RNA". The record is from RNAcentral. Lineage: Eukaryota; Metazoa; Mollusca; Gastropoda; Trochida; Solariellidae.